Esox lucius (northern pike) is the source of this 1700-nucleotide RNA transcript. It is a transcript of the gene named protein kinase, AMP-activated, gamma 3a non-catalytic subunit, with no coding region annotated. The record is from RefSeq and is a predicted model, not a curated record. NCBI's taxonomy places the organism in Eukaryota, Metazoa, Chordata, Actinopteri, Esociformes, Esocidae. The transcript is spliced from 13 exons.
AAUAUAGACCCAACUGCUAUGGUUUAUGUGACGUGAAAUGAGAGAGUAGCCCACAUGAAGCUGCAAUGCAUUUGUUGUUGGGUGCGUAGAGCCCAACUGUUUCAGGGAGAAAAGACAUCCGCCUCAGGCAGGUAGGCCAUGGAACAUGAGCAACCCGGAUUGGUGUUUGAGUAGUGUGUGUAGCACUGAAACAGGACUAAAACCAAUAGAGCUGGAAUGAAAAGCCUGUUGGAUUGUAAAGUGUUUUCGUGUUUCCAGCUUAGUUCCCCUAUUUCCCAGUUGUUUUUCCUUCAAGCUUCCGUUCCUGCUGUGAUUAAAGGAAACUAUUAUCUAAGUGUUAACAGUUCGGGUUGUUAGUGGUUUUUUGUUUAUUUUUCGGUUCAGAUCAUGUUUCGGAGGAUGCGUGAAGAAUUGAUGAAUUCAGAGGCCAACGCCGAGAUCUACAUGAAGUUCAUGAAAAGUCACUGCUGCUACGAUGCCAUUCCAACUAGCUGUAAACUUGUCAUAUUUGACACAACUUUACAAGUGAAGAAAGCCUUUUUUGCUUUGGUUGCAAACGGCUUGAGGGCUGCACCUCUUUGGGACAGCAAAAAACAGAGAUUUGUGGGUAUGCUGACUAUUACAGAUUUCAUCAACAUUCUUCAUCGUUACUACAGAUCCCCAUUGGUUCAAAUGAAUGAGCUGGAAAGACAUCAAAUUGGGACAUGGCGAGAUGUGUACCUGCAAUACUCCGACCACUGUCUUCACAGUAUCAGUCCAGAUGCCAGCCUCUUUGACGCCAUAUACUUGCUACUGAGGUAUAAGAUCCACAGAUUGCCGGUCAUCGAUCCCGUGUCCGGAAAUGUCUUGCACAUUAUCACGCACAAGCGAAUCCUCAAGUUUCUUCAUAUAUUUCAAGAGACAGUCCCAAAACCCCAAUUUCUGCAAAAGACAAUCCAGGAUCUUGGCGUUGGGACAUUCCGGAAUAUUGCCACAGUCCAGCAGACAGCCUCGCUCUACGAUGCCUUGUCUUUGUUUGUAGAAAGGAGGGUCUCCGCACUGCCCGUAGUGAACACAAAAGGCAAGGUGGUAGCUCUCUACUCCAGAUUUGACGUGAUUAAUCUGGCAGCUCGGAAGACAUACAACAACCUGAACAUCUCCAUGCAGGAGGCCAUCCAGCAGCGCUGCUGUUUCAUUGAGGGUGUGAUCAAGUGCUUGCCAGACGAGACCCUGGGGACAGCUAUUGAUCGAAUUGUCAAGGCUGAGCUCGACUCUCCUUCAUUCCUGGUCCAUCGGCUAGUCCUGGUGGACAGAGAGGACAUAUGCCUGGGGAUCGUCUCUCUCUCCGACUUGCUCCAGGCCAUGGUGUUGACCCCGGCAGGUAUUGACGCCCUUUUAGCCUUUUAGCGCCUGUGGGAGUCAAGCUCGUUUGCCCUACUGUCCUCUUCCACCAGCUCUAGCCCCACCUCCCUGGUCCAGAUAUUUCAAGCAAGUCUAUGUAAGAUUUCUAGAAGAGAAGGUCAAGUGGAUAAAAACGGGAGACCAUUUUUUAAAUGUUAAUGUACUGUUGUAGAGAACCAUUAUCUGCAAUAUUAAGCUGUAUCAGUUUCAUGAAACACAAUUGUCUUCAGCUACGUUUGAUCAAAUUGAUCAUCAAGGUUUUUGUAACUUUGUGUUCUACUGAAUUCCUUUCUGUAUUAAACAUGCUCUGUUCCAUUAUA